This is a long non-coding RNA of Oreochromis niloticus (Nile tilapia), 293 nucleotides long. RefSeq lists it as uncharacterized. NCBI's taxonomy places the organism in Eukaryota, Metazoa, Chordata, Actinopteri, Cichliformes, Cichlidae. The record is from RefSeq and is a predicted model, not a curated record. The transcript has 2 exons.
UGGGAAAAAAAGACAAUUCAACAUAAAGAAGACAAUUCAUUAAAAAUAAAUGGUCACAUAAAUAAUAUUGCAAAUAUUUAAUUACUAUAUUUAAAAUAAUUACUUACUUAAACCUUUAGAUUGAUUAAAAUGUAAGUCCUAAAAUUAUGAAAAAGCACGGUGUGCACCAUCUACCCUUUAAUCAUUGCUACUAACUGGUAAAGGUCACAAAUGGCACGAGUCAGUGAGCUAUUAUCCAGAAUGUUGUGUCUUGAGCUACAAUUUAAAAAAAAAAAAAAAAAAAAAAAAAAAAA